Molecule: ribosomal RNA, 450 nt
Filed under: uncultured bacterium
Lineage: Bacteria
Description: partial 16S ribosomal RNA
Rfam family: Bacterial small subunit ribosomal RNA
Source: RNAcentral
CCUACGGGUGGCUGCAGUAGGGAAUAUUGGACAAUGGAGGAAACUCUGAUCCAGCCAUCCCGCGUGAAGGAUUAAGGUCCUAUGGAUUGUAAACUUCUUUUCUUUGGGAAUAAAAUCUCCGAUUCCUCGGAGCUUGAAGGUACCAGGGGAAUAAGCACCGGCUAACUCCGUGCCAGCAGCCGCGGUAAUCCGGAGGGUGCAAGCGUCAUCCGGAUUCACGGGGUCGUAGGGGUGUGUAGAAGUCAGUGGUGAAAGCCUACAGCUUAACUGUAGAAUUGCCAUUGAUACUGCUUAACUUGAAUCAAGUCGAAGUGGAUGGAAUAGAUCAUGUAGCGGUGAAAUGCUUAGAUAUGAUUUAGAACACCAAUUGCGAAGGCAGUUCACUAGGCUUGUAUUGACACUGAGGCACGAAAGCGUGGGGAUCAAACAGGAUUAGAUACCCUAGUAGUC